This is a long non-coding RNA of Gadus chalcogrammus (walleye pollock), 347 nucleotides long. RefSeq lists it as uncharacterized. The transcript is spliced from 3 exons. Lineage: Eukaryota; Metazoa; Chordata; Actinopteri; Gadiformes; Gadidae. The record is from RefSeq and is a predicted model, not a curated record.
CUCUGUCUCCGGCUGAACCAGGGGCCAAAUUAAGAUAGUCGGACAAUGGUGGACAUCUACGUCAACGUUGACACUCUUAAACCAUCAGCAGCUUCACCAAACCAGCCAGAAAGAAGAUGCAUUGAUCUCGCCGCCACACCACUCCACAGACAGCUCUCUGUUUCCAGCUGAACCAGGGACCCAUUGAAGAUAGUUGGACAAUGGAGGACAUCUACAUCAACGUUGACCCUCUUAAACCAUCAGCAGCUUCACCAAACCAGCCAGGGCACCUGGGACCCAGAGCCAAGGGAACACGGAGGAGCCGCUGGGGACCUGCGGUACUUGGUCUGGGGCUUCUGUGUGCUGGU